RNAcentral lists this long non-coding RNA (504 nucleotides) under Zostera marina. RNAcentral's name for it is "long non-coding RNA (ZMAR_LNC005067)". The record is from RNAcentral. Lineage: Eukaryota; Viridiplantae; Streptophyta; Magnoliopsida; Alismatales; Zosteraceae.
AUAUACUAUAGUUGUACUUGAAACAUUAUCAAGCAAGUUGACUCAGUAUUCAUAUACUGUAGUAAGCUUCAAAGAGUAAUACUUGCAAUACUAUAAAAUAAUAAUAUUCUUAUAUCAUUACUGUUCAACCAUUUGUUUGCUAAGUAUUUACAGGUAAUUCCGCUAUCAACCUGUCUAAAUCGAAAAGAGGCUAUCACCCCCCCUUAUAGCCUCAGAUCACGAUCCAACAGGAUAUUGUGGCAUUGCCAUAAAUUGAGCGCCAAGCACUUGAUUUACCUCAGGAUUUCUGCCGAUUGAUACCAUGUUGGAGGGAUGAACGGAGGUGACAUCCGACAGAUUGGAUUCACCAUCCAUUGCCGACGAGAUCGAGAUGAUCUUAGGAGCCAUUGCAAGAAGAUGUUGAGCACAACUAGAGAAGGAGAUGUAGAGUGAUUUUAGAAAUGGAAAAACUUGUAUUGAUUGCUAUGAAUAGAUGGGUAUUUAUACACAAGAAUUAACAAUAAC